UACGGAGGAUGCAAGCGUUAUCCGGAUUUAUUGGGUUUAAAGGGUGCGCAGGCGGGAGAUUAAGUCGGCGGUGAAAUUUUGCAGCUCAACUGUAAAAGUGCCUUCGAAACUGGUUUCCUUGAGUGUAGAUGAAGUAGGCGGAAUUUGUGGUGUAGCGGUGAAAUGCAUAGAUAUCACGAGGAACUCCGAUUGCGCAGGCAGCUUACUAAACUAUAACUGACGCUCAGGCACGAAGGCGUGGGGAUCAAACAGGAUUAGAUACCCGU
This 266-nucleotide ribosomal RNA is filed under the name uncultured prokaryote. Its description in RNAcentral is "partial 16S ribosomal RNA". It matches the Rfam family "Bacterial small subunit ribosomal RNA", at positions 524 to 789 of the family's 1533-position model. The record is from RNAcentral.